GCAGCCAUAGUUUAGUGAUAAAAUAUUUGCCUUCCAAGCAAAGGAUGAGGGUUUGAUUCCCUUUGGCUGCUCCA
RNAcentral lists this transfer RNA (74 nucleotides) under Mycoplasma wenyonii str. Massachusetts. RNAcentral describes it as "tRNA-Gly (TCC) (tRNA-Gly-TCC-1-1)". It matches the Rfam family "tRNA". From Rfam's summary of the family: Transfer RNA (tRNA) molecules are approximately 80 nucleotides in length. Their secondary structure includes four short double-helical elements and three loops (D, anti-codon, and T loops). Further hydrogen bonds mediate the characteristic L-shaped molecular structure. tRNAs have two regions of fundamental functional importance: the anti-codon, which is responsible for specific mRNA codon recognition, and the 3' end, to which the tRNAs corresponding amino acid is attached (by aminoacyl-tRNA synthetases). tRNAs cope with the degeneracy of the genetic code in two manners: having more than one tRNA (with a specific anti-codon) for a particular amino acid; and 'wobble' base-pairing, i.e. permitting non-standard base-pairing at the 3rd anti-codon position. The record is from RNAcentral. RNAcentral also lists the same sequence under 1 other name. Lineage: Bacteria; Bacillati; Mycoplasmatota; Mollicutes; Mycoplasmatales; Mycoplasmataceae.